GGGGAGGGCCAAUAGCUCAGUCGAAGAGCACCUGCUUUGCUUGCAGAAGGUACCAGGUUCAAUCCCUGGCCUCUCCA
Podarcis lilfordi (Lilford's wall lizard) is the source of this 77-nucleotide non-coding RNA. NCBI's taxonomy places the organism in Eukaryota, Metazoa, Chordata, Lepidosauria, Squamata, Lacertidae. The record is from the annotation of a GenBank genome assembly.